This 727-nucleotide ribosomal RNA is filed under the name uncultured bacterium. RNAcentral describes it as "bacterial SSU rRNA". It matches the Rfam family "Bacterial small subunit ribosomal RNA", at positions 789 to 1515 of the family's 1533-position model. The record is from RNAcentral.
GGUAGUCCACGCCCUAAACGAUGCGAACUGGAUGUUGGGUGCAAUUUGGCACGCAGUAUCGAAGCUGACGCGUUAAGUUCACCGCCUGGGGAGUACGGCCGCAAGGUUAAAACUCAAAUGAAUUGACGGGGGCCCGCACAAGCGGUGGAGCAUGUGGUUUAAUUCGAUGCAACGCGAAGAACCUUACCUACUCUUGACAUCCAGAGAACUUAGCAGAGAUGCUUUGGUGCCUUCGGGAACUCUGAGACAGGUGCUGCAUGGCUGUCGUCAGCUCGUGUUGUGAAAUGUUGGGUUAAGUCCCGCAACGAGCGCAACCCUUAUCCUUUGUUGCCAGCGGUUAGGCCGGGAACUCAAAGGAGACCGCCAGUGAUAAACUGGAGGAAGGUGGGGAUGACGUCAAGUCAUCAUGGCCCUUACGAGUAGGGCUACACACGUGCUACAAUGGCGCAUACAAAGAGAAGCGACCUCGCGAGAGCAAGCGGACCUCAUAAAGUGCGUCGUAGUCCGGAUUGGAGUCUGCAACUCGACUCCAUGAAGUCGGAAUCGCUAGUAAUCGUAGAUCAGAAUGCUACGGUGAAUACGUUCCCGGGCCUUGUACACACCGCCCGUCACACCAUGGGAGUGGGUUGCAAAAGAAGUAGGUAGCUUAACCUUCGGGAGGGCGCUUACCACUUUGUGAUUCAUGACUGGGGUGAAGUCGUAACAAGGUAACCGUAGGGGAACCUGC